GACGAACGCUGGCGGCGUGCUUAACACAUGCAAGUCGAACGGAAAGGCCCUGCUUGCAGGGUGCUCGAGUGGCGAACGGGUGAGUAACACGUGGGUGAUCUGCCCUGCACUUCGGGUUACGCCUGGGAAACUGGGUCAAUUACCCGAUAGUCGCGAUGUUGAGUGUGAUGGUUCGUCAGUUUUUGCGGUGUUGGAUGAGCUCGCGGCGUAUCAGCUUGUUGGUGGGGUAAUGGCCUACCAAGGCGGCGACGGGUAGCCGGCCUGAGAGGGUGGACGGCCACAUUGGGACUGAGAGACGGCCCAGGCUCCGAAGGGAGGAAGAAGGGGGGAAGAUUGCACCAUGGGCGCAAGCCUGAUGCAGAGAGGCCGCGGGGGGGAUGACGGUCUUCGGGUUGAAAAAGCCUUUCGCUAGGGACGAAGCUUUUUGUGACGGUACCUAGAGAAGAAGCACCGGCUAACUACGUG
Molecule: ribosomal RNA, 465 nt
Filed under: uncultured bacterium
Lineage: Bacteria
Description: partial 16S ribosomal RNA
Rfam family: Bacterial small subunit ribosomal RNA
Source: RNAcentral